UCCUGCGGAGGGAUCAUUACUGAGUUUACGCACUACAACCCUUUGUGAACAUUACUAUAACUGUUGCUUCGGCGGGUAGGGUCUCCGUGACCCUCCCGGCCUCCCGGCCCCCCGGGCGGGUCGGCGCCCGCCGGAGGAUAGCCAAACUCUGAUUUAACCACGUUUCUUCUGAGUGGUACAAGCAAUUAAUCAAUACUUUUAACAACGGAUAACUUGGUUCUGGCAUCGAUGAAGAACGCAGCCAAAUGCGAUAAGUAAUGUGGUUUGCAGAAUUCAGUGAAUCAUCGAAUCUUUGAACGCACAAUGCGCCCGCCAGCAUUCUGGCGGGCAUGCCUGUUCGAGCGUCAUUUCACCCCUCAAGCUCUGCUUGGUGUUGGGGCCCUACAGCCGAUGUUGGCCCUCAAAGGUAGUGGCGGACCCUCCCGGAGCCUCCUUUGCGUAGUAACUUUACGUCUCGCACUGGGAUCCGGAGGGUCUCUUGCCGUAAAACCCCCUAAUUUUCCAAAGGUUGACCUCGGAUCAGGUAGGAAUACCCGCUGAACUUAAGCAUA
This 551-nucleotide ribosomal RNA is filed under the name Colletotrichum gloeosporioides. RNAcentral describes it as "eukaryotic LSU rRNA". The stretch from base 194 to 347 matches the Rfam family "5.8S ribosomal RNA". Lineage: Eukaryota; Fungi; Ascomycota; Sordariomycetes; Glomerellales; Glomerellaceae. The record is from RNAcentral.